RNAcentral lists this signal recognition particle RNA (270 nucleotides) under bacterium. Its description in RNAcentral is "signal recognition particle sRNA large type". It matches the Rfam family "Bacterial large signal recognition particle RNA". Rfam says of the family: The signal recognition particle (SRP) is a universally conserved ribonucleoprotein involved in the co-translational targeting of proteins to membranes. Archaeal SRP consists of a 7S RNA and homologues of the eukaryotic SRP19 and SRP54 proteins. In most bacteria, the SRP consists of a 4.5S RNA and the Ffh protein (a homologue of the eukaryotic SRP54 protein). The record is from RNAcentral.
CCGUGCUACGCGGGGCGCUAGGGGUGUCCUGUAACCCGAAACCCUCUAUACGCGGGGCGGAAUGCCUGCUGAAGGGUGCUGAGUUCCCGUGGUAUGCGGUCGGCACGUGGUGAUGACGGCCGGGUCCUACGCAGCGGGACCUUCGUGAACCGGGUCAGGUCCGGGAGGAAGCAGCCCUAAGCGACGGGUUCCGGGUGCCGUGGGAGUGCCGGGCCCGAGCCGGCGACCGGCUAGCGCCAUGAGAGUCGCAUUCGACGGCGGGCUGCACGG